RNAcentral lists this transfer RNA (86 nucleotides) under Gammaproteobacteria bacterium. RNAcentral's name for it is "tRNA-Leu". Lineage: Bacteria; Pseudomonadati; Pseudomonadota; Gammaproteobacteria. The record is from RNAcentral.
GGCGCGGUGGUGGAACUGGAAUACACGCCUGGUUUAGGCCCAGAUGCCUUUGAGGAUUGAGCGUUCAAAUCGCUCCCGCGCUACCA